Molecule: ribosomal RNA, 1554 nt
Filed under: Salmonella enterica subsp. enterica
Lineage: Bacteria; Pseudomonadati; Pseudomonadota; Gammaproteobacteria; Enterobacterales; Enterobacteriaceae
Also listed under: 5 other names
Description: bacterial SSU rRNA
Rfam family: Bacterial small subunit ribosomal RNA
Source: RNAcentral
UUAAAUUGAAGAGUUUGAUCAUGGCUCAGAUUGAACGCUGGCGGCAGGCCUAACACAUGCAAGUCGAACGGUAACAGGAAGCAGCUUGCUGCUUUGCUGACGAGUGGCGGACGGGUGAGUAAUGUCUGGGAAACUGCCUGAUGGAGGGGGAUAACUACUGGAAACGGUGGCUAAUACCGCAUAACGUCGCAAGACCAAAGAGGGGGACCUUCGGGCCUCUUGCCAUCAGAUGUGCCCAGAUGGGAUUAGCUUGUUGGUGAGGUAACGGCUCACCAAGGCGACGAUCCCUAGCUGGUCUGAGAGGAUGACCAGCCACACUGGAACUGAGACACGGUCCAGACUCCUACGGGAGGCAGCAGUGGGGAAUAUUGCACAAUGGGCGCAAGCCUGAUGCAGCCAUGCCGCGUGUAUGAAGAAGGCCUUCGGGUUGUAAAGUACUUUCAGCGGGGAGGAAGGUGUUGUGGUUAAUAACCGCAGCAAUUGACGUUACCCGCAGAAGAAGCACCGGCUAACUCCGUGCCAGCAGCCGCGGUAAUACGGAGGGUGCAAGCGUUAAUCGGAAUUACUGGGCGUAAAGCGCACGCAGGCGGUCUGUCAAGUCGGAUGUGAAAUCCCCGGGCUCAACCUGGGAACUGCAUUCGAAACUGGCAGGCUUGAGUCUUGUAGAGGGGGGUAGAAUUCCAGGUGUAGCGGUGAAAUGCGUAGAGAUCUGGAGGAAUACCGGUGGCGAAGGCGGCCCCCUGGACAAAGACUGACGCUCAGGUGCGAAAGCGUGGGGAGCAAACAGGAUUAGAUACCCUGGUAGUCCACGCCGUAAACGAUGUCUACUUGGAGGUUGUGCCCUUGAGGCGUGGCUUCCGGAGCUAACGCGUUAAGUAGACCGCCUGGGGAGUACGGCCGCAAGGUUAAAACUCAAAUGAAUUGACGGGGGCCCGCACAAGCGGUGGAGCAUGUGGUUUAAUUCGAUGCAACGCGAAGAACCUUACCUGGUCUUGACAUCCACGGAAGUUUUCAGAGAUGAGAAUGUGCCUUCGGGAACCGUGAGACAGGUGCUGCAUGGCUGUCGUCAGCUCGUGUUGUGAAAUGUUGGGUUAAGUCCCGCAACGAGCGCAACCCUUAUCCUUUGUUGCCAGCGGUCCGGCCGGGAACUCAAAGGAGACUGCCAGUGAUAAACUGGAGGAAGGUGGGGAUGACGUCAAGUCAUCAUGGCCCUUACGACCAGGGCUACACACGUGCUACAAUGGCGCAUACAAAGAGAAGCGACCUCGCGAGAGCAAGCGGACCUCAUAAAGUGCGUCGUAGUCCGGAUUGGAGUCUGCAACUCGACUCCAUGAAGUCGGAAUCGCUAGUAAUCGUGGAUCAGAAUGCCACGGUGAAUACGUUCCCGGGCCUUGUACACACCGCCCGUCACACCAUGGGAGUGGGUUGCAAAAGAAGUAGGUAGCUUAACCUUCGGGAGGGCGCUUACCACUUUGUGAUUCAUGACUGGGGUGAAGUCGUAACAAGGUAACCGUAGGGGAACCUGCGGUUGGAUCACCUCCUUACCUUAAAGAA